RNAcentral lists this long non-coding RNA (490 nucleotides) under Piliocolobus tephrosceles (Ugandan red Colobus). Its description in RNAcentral is "lncRNA (ENSPTEG00000017615.1)". The record is from RNAcentral. Lineage: Eukaryota; Metazoa; Chordata; Mammalia; Primates; Cercopithecidae.
AUAUAUAACCAUACUCAUAUAUAGUAACUAUUUCGUUUAUCUGUGUAUGUGCACUUUUGCGAUGUUACUUAUUUUAUUUAUUUAUUUUUAUUUUUUAACUUUAUUUUUAUAAGGUUACCACUAAAAAUAUAUCAAGAACACCAUCAUUUAAAUCUAUUAUUUUGUGUGAAUAAAGUAAAAAAAUAUAUAACACAUCUCUAAAAAACAAAUAAUAAAAAAAAAUUUAAAUUAGUUUAAAAUGAUUUUAUUUUUUAUAUAAUUUACUGUUUUUAUUUUUUUUUUUUAUUUUUUUUUCUUUUUUUUUUUUUUUUUUAUAUAUUUUAAAAAGUUUUAUUAUAUAUUAUAUAUAUACAUAUUAUAUAUAUACAUAUUAUAUAUAUAUAUAUAAAGCCCGGCUUGUUAAUUUUUUUUUUUUUUAACACUAUUACAUACUUAACUUUUCUUUUUCAUUACUUUAUGCUAAUUUUUUUUUUUUUUUUUUUUUUUUUUU